CAAUUACCUGACUACCUUGGAGCAGACUCUUCAGCCAUCUAUCCUGAAAUGCUCAAAUGACUGACGCCUCAUCUCUAUCAACACCAUUGAAGCUCUCUGCUGAGUGUGCAUAUCACCACAAGUUCAUGCACGUAUUUGGGCAAGAAACAAGGACCUUAGUCAAGACAGGCCACUGAAAACAGUUUACAAAAUGGGGCCAUUUCCACAGUUGCAUUCGAGAUACAGAAAAACCAUAGAGAAUGUGGAUGUGAAGGAUGACCUCAUGCCACAGAUGCACAGAUAAAAUUCAGCCUGGGAAGACAAAGAGAAAAAGAGGAUUGGAUACACCAUGCACAAAACCAUC
This 343-nucleotide long non-coding RNA is filed under the name Mus caroli (Ryukyu mouse). RNAcentral describes it as "lncRNA (MGP_CAROLIEiJ_G0003693.1)". Lineage: Eukaryota; Metazoa; Chordata; Mammalia; Rodentia; Muridae. The record is from RNAcentral.